GAUGAAGAACGCAGCGAAAUGCGAUAAGUAAUGUGAAUUGCAGAAUUCAGUGAAUCAUCGAAUCUUUGAACGCACAUUGCGCCCAUUAGCAUUCUAGUGGGCAUGCCUGUUCGAGCGUCAUUUCAACCCUUAAGCCCUGUUGCUUAGCGUUGGGAGCCUACAGUACUGUAGCUCCCCAAAGUUAGUGGCGGAGUCGGUUUCACACUCUAGACGUAGUAAUUUUUUCUCGUCUGUAGUUGAGCCGGUCCCCUGCCGUAAAACACCCAAUUUAUCAAGGUUGACCUCGGAUCAGGUAGGAAUACCCGCUGAACUUAAGCAUAUCAAUAAGCGGAGGA
This 335-nucleotide unclassified non-coding RNA is filed under the name soil metagenome. RNAcentral describes it as "partial contains 5.8S ribosomal RNA, internal transcribed spacer 2, and large subunit ribosomal RNA". The stretch from base 1 to 120 matches the Rfam family "5.8S ribosomal RNA", at positions 35 to 154 of the family's 154-position model. The record is from RNAcentral.